This 447-nucleotide ribosomal RNA is filed under the name uncultured bacterium. Its description in RNAcentral is "bacterial SSU rRNA". It matches the Rfam family "Bacterial small subunit ribosomal RNA", at positions 355 to 825 of the family's 1533-position model. The record is from RNAcentral.
UGGGGAAUAUUGGACAAUGGGCGCAAGCCUGAUCCAGCCAUGCCGCGUGAGUGAAGAAGGCCUUAGGGUUGUAAAACUCUUUCGCCGGGGAAGAUAAUGACGGUACCCGGAGAAGAAGCUCCGGCUAACUUCGUGCCAGCAGCCGCGGUAAUACGAAGGGAGCUAGCGUUGUUCGGAAUUACUGGGCGUAAAGCGCACGUAGGCGGACUUGUCAGUCAGGGGUGAAAUCCCAAGGCUCAACCUCGGAACUGCCUUUGAUACUGUUAGUCUCGAGUCCGGAAGAGGUGAGUGGAAUUCCUAGUGUAGAGGUGAAAUUCGUAGAUAUUAGGAAGAACACCAGUGGCGAAGGCGGCUCACUGGUCCGGUACUGACGCUGAGGUGCGAAAGCGUGGGGAGCAAACAGGAUUAGAUACCCGCGUAGUCCCUGAGCGGGCUGGCAAGGCGCAU